Molecule: ribosomal RNA, 253 nt
Filed under: uncultured bacterium
Lineage: Bacteria
Description: partial 16S ribosomal RNA
Rfam family: Bacterial small subunit ribosomal RNA
Source: RNAcentral
UACGAAGGGGGCUAGCGUUGCUCGGAAUUACUGGGCGUAAAGCGUGCGCAGGCGGUUUUGUAAGCCAGGUGUGAAAUCCCCGGGCUCAACCUGGGAAUGGCAUUUGGGACUGCAAGGCUGGAGUGCGGCAGAGGAGACUGGAAUUCCUGGUGUAGCAGUGAAAUGCGUAGAUAUCAGGAGGAACACCGAUGGCGAAGGCAGGUCUCUGGGCUGACACUGACGCUCAUGCACGAAAGCGUGGGGAGCAAACAGG